Xenia sp. Carnegie-2017 is the source of this 640-nucleotide long non-coding RNA. RefSeq lists it as uncharacterized. The record is from RefSeq and is a predicted model, not a curated record. The transcript is spliced from 3 exons. NCBI's taxonomy places the organism in Eukaryota, Metazoa, Cnidaria, Anthozoa, Malacalcyonacea, Xeniidae.
UACAGGACGGGAAAGUAUAUGUUGCCAAGAGGUAAACAACACUGAUCCAUGGCGAUCAUAUUUGCAUCACACAACAGGAAGAGUUUGCCACAGUAUGUACAAACGAAGCUGUCUUAAAAACAGCUAUGGUCGUGUACACACAUGACAUUGGACCUAUGCCUGAGAGUGAAGAAAACGAAGCAUUACGCUACACGGCGUACCGACAGUGGCACGGCUUGGGUGGACGGCUUGGUUGCAUUGUCAUUGUCGGAUUCUUCAUUUUCGCUUAACUCAUUUGAACAUUGAGAGUCUGAUCCAUUGUAGCUAUUGCUCAUCGUCGACGUGCUUUCUGUAUCAGACCAUACAGCGCUAUCCUCAAAAUGUUCAAUUUCACAUGACGUCGUCUGUGUGCUGUGAUUUUUUGUUGAAAUGAACUCAACCUCCGUACCUUAGCAUAAAAUUAUCGUAUUGAUUUUUCACAAAAAUCAAAACGGCCGGAAUGGAAAGUCUAUACCUCUACUUAUCACAUUUGGCACUUUUGUUUGAGUGGUUCUUGACCUUACGUGUUUUUGCGGACGGAUUGUUAUGGCUGCUUGGCAUUUCACAUUGCGCUUCUAAGGUAAAACGCACAAACAUUUCGAGCCGAUGUCGACACAUCGUG